GCCUUGAGCUCAGCUGGUACAACAUGAGACUCUUAAUCUCAGGGUUCUGAGCUCGAGCCCCACAGAAGAUUCU
Non-coding RNA from Podarcis lilfordi (Lilford's wall lizard), 73 nucleotides. The record is from the annotation of a GenBank genome assembly. NCBI's taxonomy places the organism in Eukaryota, Metazoa, Chordata, Lepidosauria, Squamata, Lacertidae.